This is a long non-coding RNA of Capra hircus (goat), 593 nucleotides long. RefSeq lists it as uncharacterized. The record is from RefSeq and is a predicted model, not a curated record. Lineage: Eukaryota; Metazoa; Chordata; Mammalia; Artiodactyla; Bovidae. The transcript has 2 exons.
CGCCUGCGCCUGCCCCGGCGUGAUAAGUGUGUGUGCCUGGGAAUGUGUGUGUGUGUGGUGGGGGUGGCCAGGGAGGGCUCUGUAUUUCUGAGUUUGUGCGUGGGAUGUCCACGUGGGAGUGUGCUUGUGAUCUUGACCUGGUGUGUGUCUCUCAUCUCUGUGUAUCACGGAGCGGGGCAGAUGCAUUUAUGGGUGUGACAGUGUGCCCUUGAUGGAGCUUGGAGAGCGCUCCCGUCCAGUUCAAGCUGGCUAGGACUGGAUCAGACCACUCACCCUAAAACUGGGCCUGCACAGAAGUCAGAUGAAUGACCUUUGGACAACAGAGGCCAAAAACUCCACCCUCAGAUCAUGCUAAGCACCUCCGUUGUUGAGCAUACAUCCUAGAAAGAAGCCAUGCCACUCAGAUGCACCUGCACAGAACCCUGAUUACCUCACCUUUCCCCCACCUCCAACCACCUUUCCCAAUGCCGAGACCCUGCUUCUUUAUCCCAUAAAUAUCCCCAGCCCUUCACCUUCAGGGAGGCAGAUCUGAGAUUUCUUCUCCUGUCUCCUCACUUGGCUGCCUUGUGAAUAAACCCUUUCUCUGCUGCAAA